UGCCCCGUGGCUGAGUUGGUUACAGCGUCCGACUGUUACCGGAUCUGUAGUGAUUCAGACAUCGGAAGGUCGUGAGUUCGAGCCUCACCGGGGCAG
Trametes coccinea BRFM310 is the source of this 96-nucleotide non-coding RNA. The record is from the annotation of a GenBank genome assembly. Lineage: Eukaryota; Fungi; Basidiomycota; Agaricomycetes; Polyporales; Polyporaceae.